AAAAAUAUUACCUUGCGUAUUAUUUUAGAUUUCAUAGGAUUAAUCUGUAUUUGUUGGAAGUGGAAGGUAAAGUUGUAAAAAUGGAUGAAUUAAGGAUUUUUU
RNAcentral lists this small RNA (102 nucleotides) under Arabidopsis thaliana (thale cress). RNAcentral describes it as "ATSL210830". The record is from RNAcentral. Lineage: Eukaryota; Viridiplantae; Streptophyta; Magnoliopsida; Brassicales; Brassicaceae.